GACUCUGUCGAAUAAAAUUCUAGGUAGAAUUAUGAUAAUGACAUUGUUUGCCUAUGUGUCUUGACCAAAUUACGUGCCAGCAGUCGCGGUAAUACGUAGAAGACUAGUGUUAUUCAUCUUUAAUAGGUUUAAAGGGUACCUAGACGGUAAAUCAAGCCUUCAAGGGGGACUAGUUUACUAGAGUUACUUGUGAGGGGGUAUUAAAGUACUGCUGGUGUAGAGAUGAAAUUCUGUGAUACCUCUUUUCGUAAGAAAAAUAAUGGCACAGGUAUAGGCGAAAGCAUCCCCUUAUGUGAUAACUGACGUUGAAGGACGAAGGCUUUGUGUAGCGAACAGGAUUAGAUACCCCAGUAGUCAAAGCAGAAAAUGAUGAAUGUCAUAGAUUAGACAUAUAAUAGUUUAUUCUAUAAAUGAAAGUGUAAGCAUUCCACCUCAAGAGUAAUUUGGCAACAUUGGAACUGAAAUCAUUAGACCGUUUCUGAAACCAGUAGUGAAGUAUGUUGUUUAAUUUGAUAAUCCACAAAAAACCUUACCACAAUUUGAAUAUUUAUAUUAUUUUUCUCAUCUAUUAUAUUUUAUAAAAAUAAUACAUUUACAAGCGUUGCACGGCUGUCUUCAGUUAAUGUCGUGAGACUUUGGUUAGUUCCAUUAAAUUAACGUAAACCCUCACUUUAUUUUUAUAUAAAGUAGUUCCCCACUAG
RNAcentral lists this ribosomal RNA (701 nucleotides) under Lecanora pulicaris. RNAcentral's name for it is "SSU rRNA". It matches the Rfam family "Bacterial small subunit ribosomal RNA", at positions 431 to 1141 of the family's 1533-position model. The record is from RNAcentral. Lineage: Eukaryota; Fungi; Ascomycota; Lecanoromycetes; Lecanorales; Lecanoraceae.